GUAACUGAGAUGUUAAGAGCGACUUGUCAGAGGCCUUUGGACAGGGCAAACAGUAUAAAGAAGAUGGUUGAAAAGAACGAUUAUUCUAAAGAUGAAACUGUUACGGAUUUUGGCAUUAAUGUUGUACAACAGUUAUGUGAUGUUGAUGCUCGUGUUUUGCCGUCCCCAAUGCUCAAAUAUCAUGAAACUGGCAAAGAAUCGAGAGUUGAUCCAAGG
RNAcentral lists this unclassified non-coding RNA (216 nucleotides) under Hevea brasiliensis (rubber tree). The record is from RNAcentral. Lineage: Eukaryota; Viridiplantae; Streptophyta; Magnoliopsida; Malpighiales; Euphorbiaceae.